AACAUAAACAAAGUAAUAGGAAGGCUUAAAUAUGAUCAUAGUGGCUGAACCUUAAAAUGCUAGCCAUUAUGAAAUCAACAUAAACAAUCGUCUAUUUGCAGAAACCGAAAAAACCAAAAUAUGAACACUUGGAAAGGCAGUAUAUAUAACUAAAUAUCAGAAGAAUAAGUCCAUAAAUGAUAGAUACCCAUUUGGAGACAUUAUCAAAAAAGAGUCAUAAUGUUAAUUUGGCCUGAAUGUAGAAACCUCAAAUCAUCACCGGACUUGUCUGUGUGUCUAUCUUCGUUUGCUGUUCCAUGAUAGUUAUAUCUGUACGAUAAAAUUUAGAAAUCAUUUAGCAAUGAGGAAGUGUAAGAAUAAAUGGUAGAUUUAGUUAUGUGAAAAUAAAGAUUUGCAUCAGGAAAUUUAGCUCUAAAAAUAGAUGCAAGUAAUCGGAAUCUGAAUUAAUGAACCACAUCUAAGGGAAUACCCAUUAGCAGCUUGUAUAUAUCAUGCUAAAAAUCAUUAGAGAUGAUGGUCUCUUAAAAAAGCUUAGGAAAUCAUGACUAGAAAGAAAAUCAUUUUCCUAAAAUGACAACAAUUCAUUCUUGAACUAACUCCUGAACAUUGUAAUCAGUUGUAAGCUAAUACCUCUGUUUGCAUAUGAAUUGUAAAUCAUAUUAGUGUAUCUAUUUGUUUUGAUAGCUAAACACCCACAAAUGCUUGGCAAGGCUAUAGUGGGCAGAUAGAUGUUGCUUCAUCAAUCACUCAAGCCAAAAGUUUGUACCUUCUGCCAGCAGCAAUCUGAGCCUUGGAAUUUUUUUACCAUAACUGGCUAAUCUUUCAGUUUUGUCAAACCAUUAUUACCAAAUUAAGUGCAAUUUUUUUGCAUGAAGGAUUUUGAGGAAUUUGCAAAAUCAAAUAAAUUUAAAAGUAAACUGAAUAGGCAAUACUUGUAAAUUGAAAACUCACAUCACAGUGAAAAGAGAAAAGUUCCAUUUGAUAUGAUGAUGAAAGUCAUGAAACCACUGCCACAGAGCUUAGAAAUUACAAAUACACAAUUUAUUUGUUGUGAACUGCAAUUCAUUGAGAUAACCACAACAACAAAUUACAGAGAGAGAUGUAAUGGAUGAUGAGUUGGGGAAGAAAGAAAAGGAUUACGGUGGAGAGAGAUUGCAGAACACCACAUGAGAAUAAAGAAUAGCACGUAACUACGUACUAUGACUGCUGGUGAGCGGUUAUGUUCCCAGAGUAUUACCCACCGACAGAUUAGACUAUUUUGUUGAGAUCGAUGUAUGAUCCAACGACCAAGGUUAUAUAUUCCAGCCGACGGAUUCGCCAAUAAAGCUCGAGAUGCUCAAUUGCUGUAGUAAGAUAGAAUAGAUAGAUACUGUACGUAGAAGGUCGGUGGGUGUUUGGGCUGGAGUUAGUAUACGAAGUGGAGAAGGGGAACAUGUUGUACAAGGUUUGAAUACUAUAUAUAUAAAAUCUGAACAAAGGAAAACAGAAAGAAGGCACAGCUAGCUCGAUAAGCACCCAUAAAACAGAAAGAAAAAACAGUUUUUUCAUAGGCUAAUAAAACAGUACGUACGUCUGCACCAAAUCAAUUAAUAAAUCAUGAAAAUUAACAUAAACAAGAAGAGAAGAAGGAUUUCUGCAAAAGGAAAACUCAAACUCCAACAUACAUCAAUCAACAAGAAGAAGAAAAGAAGAAUCUCUGCAAAAGAUGAAGAAGAAACAACAAUACUUACACGACAACAACAUCUAUCAAAUGUGCUCCCACACGACAUUAUGCUUG
Molecule: long non-coding RNA, 1777 nt
Filed under: Aquilegia coerulea
Lineage: Eukaryota; Viridiplantae; Streptophyta; Magnoliopsida; Ranunculales; Ranunculaceae
Description: long non-coding RNA (ACOE_LNC000832)
Source: RNAcentral